UUGGGAAAAUGAACUGUAAUAUAAUGCGGUCUUUUAAAAAUCAAGUUUCUGAAAAUUUCACCAGAUGGAGAAAUACUGACAAUAUGCUAAUUAAAUUCACUAUUAAUCUUGAUGUAAAAUCUGUGUUAAUCUCCAUGAUGUUAAAAAUGCAUAGAAAAAUAAAAAGCCUAGAAGAAAAUAUUCCCAAAUGACAACAGAAGUUGCCUCUGGUAGUGAGAUUACAGGAGAUUCUUUAUUUUCUGAACCUUUGUAUUUUCAUAUUCUUUUCACUUUUUUUCUGCAGUAAGCAUGCAUUAUUUUGUAAUGUGAAAGAAAAAGAAAGUAAAAUACUGAGAAAAUUAUGACGUGCAUUCCUGGCAUGAGUCAGGAGCUGAAUUUUCAUGUUUAAAUUAGUUUCAGAAACACAGGAGUGGUUUCUAGGCAACCUGCUUGGGAAAUUAUGUUCAUUUCCAUUGUUGCUGGAGUGUGCGUGAGUGUCUGAAAGAAAAUGUAAGAGACGAACCUUUGCAAAAGCAGACUCCUGCUAAGGAAAAAUAAGCUUUGCCACCCAGUUUUGGUCAUGGGGACUUGAGUUACUGUGACCUCAGAGGCCCCUAGGGGCCUGAUCAUUUUUUUUCUUUCUUUUUUCCUCCAUCUUUUCUUUUCUUUUCUUUCUUUCUUCCUUCCUUUUUCUUUGCUUGCUUUUUUUUUUUUCAAAUGAGUGAUUGAUUUUAAUGAGGAUUGCUAUAGGAUGCUAUAGGAUGCUAUAGGAAUGUCUAAUGUACAGUACAUUAGACAUUCAAGCCUCUGCAUAAGGUGUGGGAAACUGAGAGGGGAGAGAGAAUCAAGCAAAAACCCCCACUCUGUGCCUCUGCUGAGAAUCCAGGGCUGUAAUUGAGGCCGUUGCAAGGCUUUACAAGACGGAUUGUAGCUCAGGAUGUGAAAAGAUUGCCUCAUCAUCAUGCUCCAAUAUGGCUCAGAAAGGCACUGAGAAAACCUAGCCUUAGCUAGGCUAAGAGCCUAGCUUCUGGCCUGGCUUUUACGUGGUCAGCGGAUGUGCGUCCAUCCCCCUGCACUGGUUCCCCUUGUCCUUUCUGUGGCUCUCCUGGAUUCCUCUCGUUCAGCUCCUUGGUGUACAGAGCCUAUGUCAAUGGCAAUGGUGAGGGAAAUUGCCAGAGCCCUGCCCUCCAGGCCUGUCCUUAUUCAUGGGGAUCUGAGAAGAAGAGAUUAGGACCCAGACAUGCACAGAGGAGACCCUGUAAGGACACAAAGAGAAGACAGCCAUCUGCAAGCCAAGAAGAAAGGCCUUGGGGGAAACCAGCCCUGCCCACACCUUGGUCUGGACUUCCAGCUGAUUCUUGGAUGAGCUGGUCCUUAGGCACGGAGGCAGGACUGUGAGAAAAUAAAUUUCUGUUUUUAAUUCACC
This 1405-nucleotide long non-coding RNA is filed under the name Homo sapiens (human). RNAcentral describes it as "HSALNT0071535". The record is from RNAcentral. Lineage: Eukaryota; Metazoa; Chordata; Mammalia; Primates; Hominidae.